AUCUAUGGCCGUGCUACCCUGAACACGCCUGAUCUCUUCUGAUCUUAGAAGCUAAGCAAGGUCAGGCCUGGUUAGUACUUGGAUGGGAGACCACCUAAGAAGACCAGGUGCUGUAGGCA
This 119-nucleotide ribosomal RNA is filed under the name Pteropus alecto (black flying fox). Lineage: Eukaryota; Metazoa; Chordata; Mammalia; Chiroptera; Pteropodidae. The record is from RNAcentral.